Molecule: long non-coding RNA, 24136 nt
Filed under: Cricetulus griseus (Chinese hamster)
Lineage: Eukaryota; Metazoa; Chordata; Mammalia; Rodentia; Cricetidae
Description: lncRNA (ENSCGRG00015032486.1)
Source: RNAcentral
UUUGAUAUUUUGAAUGAGAUCCUGCAGGGGAAAUAAGAUCAUGUGGGAAACCUAAGGUGAUUGGAAUGAAGUGUGAACAUGUGUCAAUAGGAGUGUGCCAAUGUUGGUUCAUUAACUGUAAAUGCAUUAUCUCACAAACAGAAGGUGUUAAUAAUUGGGGAGGCAGACUACAUUUGAAGGUUUUUUUCCCCCUGCAAACUCAAAUUAUUCUGAAACUGUUUAAUAAUAAACAAAAUAAGAAAUUUUCUUAUUAAUACAAAAGGCCAAAGUGUACUGCCUUUUCUCUUUACCUCAAUUUUCGUCCCAUGAAGAUAGAAUUGUGGCACAUCCCACAGCUGCAAAGGAAUAUGGUUUGUUGUUAACAUCUUGCCAACUUAACUCUGCAAGCUGAAUAAUUCUCCAGCAAUUAAAAUUUAUCUAAAACACAUCACACUGUUAAUGCUGAUAACAUGACUAUGAGGUGGCAGAGAAAAUUUAAGGAGAAUGAAAAAGAACUUGUAAAGAAAAGACAUGGUGAAGAGCAGUGAUGCUACAGGCAGUUUAAUGAACCAGAGAAAAGGAAACUGCACAUUCUCUAUCUACACCACUCCCACCCUAUACCCAGAACCUUCAGUUUCCAUCAGCUGCAGCCGCUAAACCUUUCCAUUCAAUGCUAAAGAAAGGACCAACUGAUAGUGAAGAAAUUAAAACGUGUUCAUUAACGCUAGGUGUUCCAACAGACUCUUGCAUCAAGGAACACAGGUAGACCAUUUGUCCCACCCACCCUUCUGAACAGUCUGUAUAGGGGAGAGGUUUGUGGUUACUCUGAUCCCUGUCAUCACUAUCACAAAAAUAUAGCGACCCAUUAUAAUUAAAAAAGUCUACAAUGACAUCAGAACUGGCAUUUUCAGAUCCAUACAGACAUGAACUAAUAACAAGAAUAGCACAAUAUUCAAGAAAUAUAAAAAUAUAGGAAGGGAAAUAUUUACUCAAAAGACUGAAAGGGAAGCUAAUUAAAUGGAAAACAUCAAAAUGUCAGCCUUUUCUACCUUAAAACAUUUAAACUGGUACUGAAUUGAUUAAACUAUCUGUUGGUAGGUCUUAAGAAGAGAAUAAACAGCUAUAGCAAAGAUUUCUUGACAGAAAGAGCUUGAUUUAAAAAUCAGCAUAUUACCUCUCAUUACAUAACAGUAUGAACACUGAGAAAAACAAACACUGCCAUUAUUAUCAAAGAGGAAAAAUAUAGGAACCCUAUAUCAUUGCUUUUUGUUGUUAUGAUAAAAUAUCAUGACUGUAAGUGAAUCAUGAAAGAAAUAAUUUACUUUUGCUUAAGGUUUCUGAGGAAGAGUCUAUAUGGUGAGAAAGCAUGGUAGCAGGGGCUGUAGAAGGAAGCUGGGAGAUCAUGUCUUAAACCAAAAGCACAAGGAAGAGGGAGAAAACUGGAGUGAGGCAAGGUUGUUGAUUCACAAAUCCUGCCCAACUAAUGUACUACUUCCAGCACAGCCAUAACACCUCUCCAAGAGGUACCACCAACUGGGGAUGCAGUGUCCCAGUACAAGAGUCUGUUAGGGAUAUUCUUAUCCAAACCACAAGUCCCUAAAAAAGACUAGACAUCAUGGGCAGACUUGGGGAAAUCAUUGUCUUCAGGGAAGCACUCUGAAAGAAUAGAAUGGAUUAAAUGCAUUUGUUUAUGUGAUAAAUAGCAUGGCCAAAAGCAACUUGGAGAGGAAAGGGUUUAUUUCAACAUCACCUAGGGACACCAAGGUGGGAACUUGAAUCAGAAACCAUAACAAAAUACUGUUUAAUAGCUUGCUCCCUCUAUCUUGCUUAACUACUUUGAUAUAUAGCCCAGAUCCAACUGUCUAAGGAUGGCCCCACCCACAGUGUCCUGGGCACUAUUCAUUCCAUCAUUGAGCAAUUAAGAAAAUGCCUCAUAAACAAAGCCUGAGAACUUCUUUAGUUGAAGGAAGGUCUGUCUUCUCAGGUAACUCUAGAUUUGUGUCAAGUUGACAGCUGAUGCUAACUAUGGAACUGGUGAAAGCAAUUAUUAAAGACAUAAAAGAAUAAUGGCAGAGCUGAUCACCCAAAACAAAACUUGUCCUCACUUUGAAAUAAAAUCUCACUUAUACAUGUUUGUGCCGAUGGUCCUGAUUUCUAAGAAUUGUGAGGGAAAUAUUUUAUUAUCUCAACAGACAAAUGGAUGUUUUAACUUUUAAAAAAGUACAUUUAAAUAAGAAGGAAGUAAGUUCAAUAAAAUAGGAGAAAUGGUAGAGGUGUUAGGAAGUAAAGCAUGUAUGUUAGAGAUUAAACACUAAAGACUAUACCUUCAAGAGACCCUUGAUAAACCUGAUCCGAAAAGCAGUAGUGAGUUAUUAAAAUAAAAUACCUAGUACCAGAAAUACCUUAUAUGUAGUUGAUUGUUGGGGAGGUCACAGAGUCCCCAAAAACAGUGCAAAGUCUUACCAUUCCUUCAGAUUGCCCUCCAGAAUUAAUAAGACUUUUUAUUGAAGACACCACACACCUUGGUUGCAUUUCAUUAAGUUUUAACAAAAAAAACAAUAAAAAUAAUAAGUGGGAAACUACCUGAGAGCCCAAACAAUGGCAAAGAAGUAUGGAGAGCCAGCAUUAAAAACAAUAGAAGAAUACAACCCAGAAAAAAAAAUUUACUUAUGUCAGGGAUUACCUUGUCUAAUGUUAUGACCAUAAAACAAAAAUUUAAAUAAUUUCAAUAAGUUGCUAGGAAGACAUAAGGAUGAAUUCACACUUCAAAAAAUAAGCGAGGAAGAAACUGCAAGCCAGACAAACUUGAAAUGUAUUAUUCAUAUAACACAAGAAUUAAUAUCUAGAACACUUAUGACUUUUACAGAACUCAACAGCACAACCUCCAAUAAUCAAAUUUAAAUGAGGACAAAAAUUCUUAAUAGGUAUUUCUCAGAAGACAUGUAAAUAGCAACAAGCACAUGAAAAACUGGAGACUAUCAUGAUUGUUAGGGAAGUACAUAGACUGUCUCACCCCAGGUAGAAUGCUUAUAAUCAAAAACACAAAACACAAUGAAUGCUGGUGUUGAUGUGAAAAGGGGAGAGCUCCUAUAAAACAUUGGUGAUAAUGCAUAUAAAUUAUUUCAGUGUUAUGGAAAACAAUGUUGAACUUCAUUUUUAAAUAUUUGUAAGUGGACCUGGAGAUUUGGUUCAAUGUCACAGUGCAUGCUUAGUGUAUGCAAGGCCCUGGGUUUAAUUUCCAGCACCACAGAUAAGUUAAUAAGGGAAAAUCAUUUAUGAUCUAGCAACUCCUCUGGAAAUAUAUACUCAAAAGAAAUGCUAUCAGCAAGUUGAGAAGAUGCUUGCACUGGUAUUUGUGCUGCAGCAGUAUUCACAAUGUCCAAUACACAGAAUCAACCAAGGCAUCUAUCUGUGGAUGGAUGGUUAAAAUGUGACAACAGACUAAAUGUAUGUAACAGAAUACAUACAUUUGAGACAUCAGGAAAUUGAAGAACAUCCUAUCUAGCAACAUAGAUGAGGAGCAAAGGACUAACACCAACCACUGUUCUCACUCACAUGUAGGAACUAAUCAUUCUCAGAAGAGAGAAGAAUAAUGGUCACUAGGGACUGGAAUGGAGUAAGAUACAAAAGGAGAGGAUAGACAGAAAGCAAUUAGACAAAGCUCAACAAAGUAGGUGGAAUACACUCUGGUAAUCCACUGUUCACUAUAAUGUGUAUUUCAAAACAGCUAGGAGAACUAAUGUUUCCCUACACAGAAAUGCUUGAUAUUUGAGAUGAAAAUGCCAGUUAUCCUAAUUUGAUCAUUAUGCAUUGGAUAAAUGUAUGGAAUUAUAUAUAAACACUGUCUUAAUGUGUUAUUAUUGGUGUCUUAACGCCACUGAGAUUUGAAUGCAGAUGACGAGUGAUGCCCUUGAUACUGUCACCUGUGUUGAUCUGAGCAAAGCAACCCUGGGCAGAGACAACAAGGAUGUUGUCUCACCACAGGUUGUAGACAAUCACACAAGCAUCUGGAUGCCCAGAACUGUGAGUAGAAGCCAGGUAUAACACUUCACUCUAUAUUUACCAACAACUAGUCUGGGCUGCACUCAUGGGAGGUGGGUAAUGCUGGACCACAGAGCCAAUUUCAGCCAGGAGCAAAGUCCAGCUGUACUCUCACCAGCAAGCACUGCAGGCAACUUCAAAGUGAAUGCCGCCAUAAUGAGACCCAAGUUAGGUGGUGCCCACUAAAUGAUCCAUCUAUUAAUUAAGUCAGACUGAAACACAGCCUUACAGAAAAAUUUAUUGCCAGUGCAACAUUUACAUCUCUAUAAAACAGGGUCUCAAUUAAUACCCACCAGCAAUGCUUGCAUACUUUUCUUUUUACUCUGUUGGUUAUCCUUACUUGCCCAAUGAACAAUUGUCUGUUCUCUGAACUCUGAGCCUCACUCUCCUGACUUCUCGAACUUUUGGUUCUGUCACCCUCUUGAUAGAACACUCUGCCAUUUUAUUCUGCAUCAUCAAAUUCCAGAAUGCAUUCUCUGUGGACAAGAACUUAGGUGUGAAUCUAAAAAGAUUUUUAUAAACAUACAUCUGCAUUCAUUUAAUAGGAAGAGGACCUGGACAGACUUGUGUGUUUUAAGCCAUAAUAUCUCUCAGAUGUUAGCAACUGUAUUUAUUUCCCUGGUUAUCUCUCUGAGGACAAAAAUCCCUCAUACCACUGUCCCCUGUAAUGGUAAGCUCAUGAACUUACACUAGAUAGAGAGGUCACCAAGGAAGUAGUGUUUUAUUAAAACUAAUUUAUAUUAUAACAAAUCUCAAUAAUUAAAAGUCACUUUUAAAAAGACAGCAUUUUAAGGAUAAAUGGUAUUAAGGCACAGUGUGGGGGGAUAUGUACCUGCAAAACUGUAUGCUUUGGGAAGGGCAAAUAUGCUUUUAUUUUAAAGAACAUGCAUUUUUAAAUAACUUUGUAGUUGAGUCUAAGUGGCUGAGUUAUCCAAAAACUGAAAGACCCCCGGAGGCUCAGGCCCCUAGGAUCUCAGUCCAGGAAAGCGGCCACCGGAAUCACCAUGCGGAGGCAAAAGCUUGAUGCAAACAGCAAGAGGUUAUUGCAGUUGAUUAACAAGCUAACCCCAUGUUAGCUCGGGCCUUUCAUCCAUCCACCAUGGUAGAUGGCUAGGAAAGAUGAGGUGAAGCCACGGCAUAGAGAUCUUAUAGGGCAGCAUAAGGGGAGUAUCUAGGGGUAUGCACAGGUUCAAGAUUGGUGUGCCUCCAGGCUUGGAGGGUUUGUCCUUUGCUGAUUGGUCAACUGGUUGUUAUGGCCCAUAGGCCCUCCCAGGGUGGUUGCUAUGCUCUGCACGUCAUUGCUGUGCUCUUGUCCAUAAAGCACACCCAGAGCGGUAAAGCAUAGCAUCACCAGCUAACUUCUGAUUGGUUCCUUGCCAGGAGGCAGGCAUCUGACCUCCUAGUGAACAAGGCAAGGUCAGGCAAGCACGUGCUAGGCUGUUAUGGCUCCUAAAAUAGGGAGCUGGUCCCUUCAAAACAAAAUUUUUAGUUUAUCAGGAAAGGACCCGAUAAUCUGUCCACCCUCUAUUGUUUUUAAAUUGUUUAUAGAGACUGUUGUCUGUGUUAAAUUGUUCUUAGCUGAAAUGUUUACAAGUUGUUUUAUGACUUGGUAUGUUUAUCCUUGGUAAUGACUUGAAAUCUUCUAUAAUAUUAAGUGAACUUUGAAGCUACUUUCCAUAAAUCUAAGACACAUCUUAAUUUUAGAGAGCAGAUAGGGUUUUAAGAGCUUUUAAAAAUUACUCCCCCAGAUUUGUGCUGUUUUAGAAUUAAAGCUGUGGUUUCAAUGUAUAGACCUCAUCUGGUUUUCAAUAUUUCUUUCAGUUUUUGUCUCCAUCAUUGCUGAUAAACUUUCAAGGUCCCUGGCUUAGUAUUUUGGCAGCACUGUAGGACUGUUAUUCUUGGUAAUAUCUAUUCAUAGAAGGUGUGUGGUAUUUAGUUAUCAUACUCUGAAAAUCCUUCAUGAAAGUAAAGCCACUGACUUUAUUGAAUACCUAUUAUGUACUGAAGUAUGAGGAUAGAACAGAGAUGUCCCAGUGAAAACAUAGUUCCUCCAUGUAAUAUUUUGUACAAUUGCUUCCUCUUUGGUCAGUCAAAUUAAGAGGAUUGUUACUACAGUAAUCAGGUAGAAUUCAUAUGAUCUCUAUUUAUGCUGUUAGAAAUACAACGGACAUAAUAGUUUAUUGGCAAUCAAAUAUGUUUGUUGGUCUGUCAGGAGCCAAGAACUAUUCUUUUAGAGAGUUUCUUGGGGUCCAAAAAACCUCCAGUUCCAGUAACGGGGAGCUUCAGUCUACAUUGUAUUGCAGAUGCUAGCUAAUCUGCUAUUGAAUAGCAUAGCCUCAGUGGAGAAUGUCUCCUCGUUUGCAUCUCUACAGAACUAAGCAUUUGAAUAGGCCUGCACCAGGGUGCAGGGCUAAGUCUACUUGAGAGUGAGAACAGAUAGUUAGGAGGUAUCUGGCAGAGAGGUCGAGUAGAGGAGAGACCAUAGAGAGAUCUGCUGAUAGAGUCUAGGAAGAUGAGAGAGAAAUGGCCUCGUGGUCAUGGAAGUAUGGUUAGAUUACAGCCAGGAAGAUGCUGAAUAAAGAAGAGACUCCAGUUUUGCAGCAUGGAACUUCGAGCUCUCUAAAGAUGACAAGAUAUCUGUGUCUGGUCUUUAUUGCCAUUAGGUUGCUAGGAGUUUCCAAGUCCAUGCUCCCCUACUCAGGCCGAACUUGUGGCUCCUGUGGUUUGGGGCUGAGACAUUCCAGGCCAAGACACUGGUCAAUAAUUAGGAAGUUUGUCAUUUAUAUAAAAUGUGAUUUAUAUAGAGCCUGUUAAAGCUAAUGGGAAAACCAAUACAUAUUAAAAUUUACAAUUAGUGUAAAACAACCUGUGUUACAGUGUAUGUUAACCAAGGAUUUAAGGAAGAGUAUGUUGGCAUAAUGAUGAUGAUGAUGAUGAUGAUGAUGAUGAUGAUGAUGAUGAUGUUGAAGGAACCAGCUUCCCUUUCGGCAGCCAUAACAGCCGAACAUGUGCUUCUAUGACCUUGACCUAGUCACUAGAAAGUCAGAUGCCUGCCUUGUGACAAGAAACCAAUCAGAAGUUAGCUGGUGGGUGGCGCUAUGCUUUACGACCCUGGGUGUGCUUUACGGACUAGUGCACAGCAAUGACGUAGAGAGCAUAGCAACCACCCUGGGAGGGCCUAUGAGCCAUAACAACCAGUUGACCAAUCAACACAGGGCAAGCCCUCCAAGCCUGGAGGCACACCAAUCGUGAGCCUGUGCGUACCCCUAGACACUCCCCUUAUGCUGCCCUAUAAAGAUCUGUACACAGCGGCUUCAAACCGUCUUUCUAGCUAUCCGCCAUGGCGGUUGGAUGAAAGACCCGAGCUAACAUGGGGUUAGCUCGUUAAAUUACAAUAAAGCCUCGAGCAGUUUGCAGCAAGCUCUCGAAUCCGCCUGGUGAUUGGGGUGACCGCGAAUGUGGCCUGGGACCCCGAAUACUUGAGUUUUCAGGGGGUCUAACAAUGUCAAUAAUAACCAGUCUCUUAUACCUCUUCUUGUACUAUGAAAAUCCUGUGGGUUCUCUUCAUUUUGCUAUUCCUAUAUCAUAUUGGCAUAUUCUAUAACCCAAAUUCAUGAAAGAUCCAUUCAUACACAUUCAUUAGAAAAUGGUGUAUUUCAGCUGGGUGGUAGUGGUGCAUACCUUUAAUCCCAGCACUUCAGAGGCAGAAGCAGGAAGAUGUCUGUGAGUUUGAGAACAGUCUGGUUUACAAGAGCUAGUUCCAGGACAGGCUCCAAAGGUGCAUAGAAAAACCCUGUCUUGGGAAAACAAAAAAAGAAAGAGAGAAAGAAAGAAAGAGAGAGAGAGAGAGAGAGAGAGAGAGAGAGAGAGAGAGAGAGAGAAGGAAGGAAGGAAGGAAGGAAGGAAGGAAGGAAGGAAGGAAGGAAGGAAGGAAGGAAGGAAGGAAGAAAGAGAUAUUAAAAGAACAUGGUGUAUUCCACAUCUCCUAUGGACUACAGAAUGGGAAAGAUUUGCAAGAUAGUGGUAAAUAAAUGAGAGUUGUGUCUAUGUGCUGCAAGACAAGAGAAGCUGUGCUUAGAUCUUGAGCAGGCUUAUUUUGUUGAUGUAACCUCUGAACUACAUUGGAAUGAAAAGGAGAGAAUGAAAAUUCCAACAAAAUCAUAUUUGAGAGUAUUUUUAUAUUGCAGGCACAACCACACAACUGUAUAAAGAGACUAACUAUCACCUGGACAACAAAGGAGGAAAUUUUUGUAUUGUUUUGUUUUGUUUUGUUUUGUUUUUGAGACAGGGUUCUUAAGCUCUGGUUGUCCUGGAACUAGCUCUGAAGACCAGACUGGACUCAAACUCAGAGGUCUGCCUGCUUCUGCCUCCUGGGUGCUGGGAUUUAAGCAUGUGUCACCUCCAUGUGGCCAAAAUGGAAAUUUUAAUUCCAGUUAAGCAGGAAAGAUUAAACUUACAGAAGAGGUAACCAUUUUACUGGCCUUUUGGAAUCUAACCAAUGACCUCAUGAUGCAAAGCAAGUGUUCUACCAGUGAAACACAGCUGUCGCUCUUGUUUUUAGUUAAGACUGGAUCACAUAAUGUCACUCAGCAGGACUGAACUCACUAUGUAGCCCAGGCAGGGCUCAACUUUCUAAUUCUCAUGCCUCUGCCUCCCAGAUUCUAGGAUUCUAGUAAUGAGUUUUCAGUCUCUUAAAAAAGUUAUUGAAUUUGGAUACAGCGAAGCCAGUAACAGAGUCUAUUCUUAAUACGUUUGCAUUGGAAAAAUAAGUGAAUAAUGGACCAAGCAUUCUAGAGAAAGAAUGAUGCAAACAAAAGAACACACAUGAGGAUACACAGGCCACAUUUGAAUAGAUGAAUAAUUUUCCUUUGUUAAGUGUCCUUCAUUAUACUCAGUGAACACCGAUUGGCACAGGAAGACCAAGGCACUAAGGAAAAUAUGUUUAAAGAUAAACAGGCCUAGUCUUAAUGAAACAGAUUGACAAAAGUGUCCUUCAUCACUAGAGGUUACAUAAAUAAAAUGUUCUGACUCUAAAGAGUGUGGUUCUGUUCAUUUGUGCACUGCCAACGACCUUGGUCAAACCCACAGUUUAAUUUCAACCCUGUGAGAUGGGUGAAAUACUGAAAGGAACCUCCUACUUCGUAUUUCCAUGAUAUUAAUUCUAAACAGUCCCAAGAAGAAUGUUUGAAGGAAUAACUAUGUCAAAUAUGCCAAAGAAGCUGCAUUAUCAGAUGAAGGACUCCUCACACUUAUUUUAGAGCACACUCAUUUUAUUCUGUGUUCAAAGUUAUGAGGAUUUGAGACUUCAGCCUGGAUAGCAUUGACUGUCAGAUGAGGGACUUCAUUCUCAGAUGUUAAAACCCAUUGAGUCAAUUCCACAGAAGUGCUUGCACUAGAAGAGGACAUGGCAUGUGAUAAAGCUAGAAGAGGAGAACUGGUUCUCUCAUAAAAAGAUAAGGUCCUUCUUGGAAGUAGACAGGUGGAUUGUACUUGGUGGAGGAAAAUACCAGCAAGAUAGUGAAAGAACAUGUCUCUGUGAGACUGUAUCUCCUAUGCCACCUUUCUUUUGGAAUCAGCAUGACACCACUUCUGUGAACACCAAGGCCUGAAGGAUUAAAUAAUAACAUUCAAAUCAUGAAAUGCAAAAACAGUAGAGGCCAGACUUAAACUCAGUUUUACUUCUGCCUAGUCCAUUCUCAGUGACAUCAUGCUGCCUUAGUUUCUUCUCUACUGCUGUAGUGUAAUACUCUGCCACAAGCCAUUUGCAGAAGGGUUUAUUUAGCUAAUAGUUUUGGGUUACCAUCCACCCUAGAGAAGUCAGGGCAUAAAGUUUGAAUCAACUAUAAUCACACACACUGAGUGGAGGUCAGAAAAGAGCAAUGAAUGCAGACUCAUAUCCCACUCACUUUAUCCACUUGUACAACCUAAGUACUGUCCACAAUUCAAAUGACUCUUUCUACUUCAAUUAAAAUAAGAUAAUUUUACUCAGGCAUGCUCAAAUUCCCAUGCUGUGGGUGAUUCAAGAUUUUUGUCAAGUUGAUGAUUUACAAUAUCACAACUACCUGGCAUAUUUUAAUUCUGGGGGCAUCACCUCUCUACCUGUUUACUCUGUGCAUACAACUUAAACUUACAUUAGCAAAGGACCAUGUGAUAUUUGAGACAUGGGAAUACACUGUCACCUAGACUCUGGGAAGGAGCACACUUUCUCCAACAUUACUGUCCAGAGCCAAAGAAGUUCAAUGGGGCUGCUCAGGUAACCAGCUAAACAGAGAGAUCUAUGGUGCUAACACUUCAGUCCAUCCUCCAACUGCAUCAUCACCUGUGAGUUUACAUAAGAUCCAAGUAUGGGGUUUAGUGAGAUGACUUAGUAGAUAACAGGCUUGUGGCACAAGCCUAUUGACCUGAGUUUGAACCCCAAAAUGCACAUAAAGGUGGCAAGAGAAAGAAAAGGACAGGGAGAGAGCCCAGUGGAUCUGGUGGGAAAAUCCCCAUUAGUCAUUUUUGGAGUUGUAUCCACAUAUGUCUCUUGGCAGAAGCCAGUUGGUUUCAGAAGCUGCAGCUGUGUUCUAGAUGCUGAAACUGAGGAAGGCAAAGGCCAUCAUUAGUCAAUCACUGGAAUUCAGGAGUGAUUUCCCAGAUGGAUGUCUAGUAAGAGGACUUCAAAGGAACACACAAACCAGUUACAUAAGACAACCUGUCAGUGGCAUCUGUAACCUUGUAUUGCUCAGUGAGCAUCAGCUCCAAGCAAACUGCCUAUCUUAAGAAAAAAAUUGUCAAUAUUUGUGAUUCUUGCUUCUGUUUCAAAUAGUUCAAUAUACAGAGCAUUGCAGAGGAAUAAAAGAUAAUAAAAUGUUAGGGGUUGUAUAAACUGACCCAGGAUAUUCCAACUAAAAACAUGCAAGCCUGAGUCAGUUCUAAAUUGCAGGCUAGAAUGGAGUAGAGGCCAGAAGGAGGCUUUAAAUUCAACAUUUUGUAUUUAUACUAAUCUGGUAUGUUUAACACCCCUAAGAUCAAGUCAGAUAAUGGUGAGGGAGGGACAUGUGACAAAGCCUGACCAGAGGAGUGACAGGAGGAAAGCUAGGUUUUUCAUUCCUUGAAACAUAAAAUAUCAAUAAACUAACAACACAGGCUUAAUACCAUAUCAAUGUUAAAAAUGUGAAUUUGAGGAAUAUGAAGUAAUUCAAUUUUAAUAAAAUUAGUUUGGAUAGAACUUGGAAUGCAGGGGUCAUAGUGAACGAGAGAUGCUAUUACUGUUGUUCUAUAUGUUAUUACAAAUGUGAAUUCGGUAGAAGAGUAUAUAUAUAUAUAUAUAUAUAUAUAUAUAUAUAUAUAUCACUGCUAAGUGUCAAAAUUACAAGUCAACAUGAUUCUGCUUGGUUAUUUUAGAGCCCCGUAAGUAAUAUGAUAAGGGUUGACUUGGGAAAACUGGUUUGGAUACUGGGAAAGCUGAUAUACAUAAUACAUAUAUCACAAAUACACAUAUGUCCUACCAUAUGUUCUGAAUUGGUUUACCACUAAACAGAAAGACAAUUUACUAAACCCACAGUAUAGAGUAGUAAAGUUACGAAUAGUUUGAUUUUUUUUUUUUUAGUUUAGUUACUAUUCAGGAGAAAUGAAAGAUAAGUACUCAAAAAAGAAAUGUUCUGCCGGGUAUUGGUGGCACAUACCUUUAAUCCCAGCACUCAGGAGUCAGAGGCAGGCAGAUCUCUGUGAGGUUUGAGGCCAGGCUAGUCUACAGAGCGAGUUCCAGGACAGGCUCCAAAACAAUACAGAGAAAUCCUGUAGAGCAGAAAGGAUAUGUGAUCCGGUAAGGUUGGGGGUGAUGGUGGUAGGGGAGAACAAGAGGGAGAAGGGAACUGGGAUUGUCAUGUAAAACAAUCUUGUUUCUAAUUCAAAUAAAAAAAUCUGGAAAAAAAAGAAACCCUGUCUCAAAAAAACAAAAUAAAUAAAUAAAUAAAUAAAUAAAUGAAAUUUUCUUUCUUAAUUAUAGAGAAAUAUAUAUAAUAUUUAUAAGAAAAUGAAAGGAAAUUUUGAUUAUAUUGAAUAAAAUACAUAUGAAUAAGAAAGACAAAUGACUAUUUCUCUCAUGUGAAAUCUAGACUUCAAAAAAAAUAGAUAAAGCUAAGGGGAGGGUUGUAGUUACAACCCAGCAGUUGGAAGCAAUGUUUGCUCUUGUAGAGGACCCAAGUUCAAUAUCAAGUACAUACAUUCAUCUACAAUCUUCAGGGAAUCUAAUGCCCUCUUCUGGUAUCCAUGGAUACCUGCAUUUCCACUCACAAAAGUCCGUAACACAUACACACACACACAUACACACACAUACACACACACACACACACACACACACACACACACACACACACACACACACGCACGCACGCGCACACACACACACACACACACACACACACACUUAUAUUAAAUAUAAAAGGGUUUGUUUGAAAAAAUACAUGGUAUGAAAAAUGAUAGCAAUAUACUUAUCAGAAUAUAAGAAUUGAAAUACAUUAUGUACAUGUCUUAAAAUGUCAUAAGGAGCCCCACUAUUGUGUAAAAUUGUUAUAUACUAGUUUUUAAAAGGGAUUCAGAUUAUAGAGUCAUUUUUUCUUUCCCUUUAUGCACGACUGCUUUUACAAUCUCUGCUAGUGAAGAGACUGCCAGGAAAUGUCUGGGUAGAAAUCUACUCAUGUUGCUGCUGUCAAGCAAGGCUCCUUGGGGGAAGAGAUGAAACGUUUAUGUUCAAGUUGCCUGCAUGAGGGUUAACAGGGUGAUCGCUUCAGCUAACCCAUGCCAUGCAUAACAUGAAAGUCCUUUACAAGUAGAGGGCACCUGUUUUCAGGACUGGAAGAUGGAUUGGCAUUAUAUAUUUUAUUAUUAAAAAGGUGACGCUGGAGAUGAUUAAGUUUCUAGGAGCCAGCCAGUGCAUCAGAUAAGAGGUGGCUGGCUUUGACUGGGUAAUUUCACUACUGUGUAGCAAUCUGAAAAUGAGAAAAAUGUCAUGUCCAAAGAAAUUCAUCAAACCUUUUUUUUUCCACCAUGAAAUAUUUGCUAGCAACAUAAAGCCAACAGCAUGACUCAAGUAACAGAAAUAAGGCAAAGAUUCCAUAAGAAAAUCAAGUAGAAAUUUGCCAUUACUAGAGAUAUAAGGAUGAGUAAGAGGGAUCACUUUCCCCAAAUUUUAACUAUAUGUGAUCCACAUGCCGUGACAUUGUUCAUGCAAAAAAACAAAACAAAACAAACAAACAAACAAACAAACAAAUAAUGCUGGCCAAGGACAAUCAGAGUUCUAACUUUUAUUUUCUUCUGACCUCCCCACAUUAUCUACUAAUAACUAUGCUUCUCUUUUAAAAAUAGGAAAAGAAUGUAAUAUUUUAGAAGUGAUUUUAAUAAAAUGGCCACAAGCAUUCCAACUCUAUAGGAGUAUCGCAGACUGCAAUGGGAAAUAUCAGCACAUGGACACUGGAUUCUCACAUUUCAUACCCCUGCUAUCAUUCUCUCAGUAACUCAGACUUAUUCAUCCAUAUGUCUCCAAUUUAUCCUCCUGGAUAACAGUGCUCUGUGCUUUGAGUAUAUGAGGAUUGGUAAACCCCAUCAUUCAAUGGUUUCAAAUACUGCCUUCAGGUAAUCACUUUAUUCAAAAAUUUUAUUUAGACAUAUAAACAUUCAAUAGUUCUUCAUUGUUCUUUCAUGGUGUAAUGAAACAGUCUAUGCUUAGCCCUACCCUUUCCAGGUCUGGAAAUACAGGAGAGAUGUCCUGCCAUGCCAUACUUUACAAUCACCUACUUAUUUACAUAGAACUCUUUUGUCUCCAGGGGAAGCAAAUUGUACAACCAACUAAUAUGUAAGUCCUCUAUAGGUAGGAAGCCUAACAUUUUGAAAAUUUAAAUCAUAUAGGAGCACAGACAGUAGUAAAUCUAUUUUUCCUUCCUCUGGAAAACUUGGAUUUAUACUGCUGUGUUCAGCUUCAGGCACAACUAUAGAUUAUUAACUUAAUACCAUGCCCAGAGUUAGUUUUUAUUUAUUAAGGUUUUACUAAAAAAGAGCUAAUACUUGCCUUAUUUUAGACUCUCAUAGCCCAAAUCCUAACAUCAAAAAGUAGUUCUAUUUGAAAAGUAUCCUAUGUACUUGCUGAUCAUACAAUGAUGUUUGUUUAUAAAGCAAGCAAUAUUUAACUAAAAGCAGUAAGACCAUACUUAGAAAUUCAAAAACUUAAGAUAUCAUAGUCAAUAAACAGAGCACAUUUCGGAGCCACUGCAGGGCACAAGCUCAGAGAGUAUUGUCAGUGCAGAUAUUUGUAGAUCCCUACUGGGUUUUGAAGGGUGGGUUGGAUUUUUCUGUAAAGAAUGUUCAGAUACUGGAAAUCCAGCCAAAAGCAAAUAACAAAAUUUAUAAUGAUAGGAGUACAUCUUUACACACCUGCUCCCUUGAAAGCUGUUAUAAUGGAAAACAAGAUGUUACAUAAAAAAAUCCCUUCUCUUUGUAGUUGUUUUUCCCAUGGCUGUGACCAAAUGUAUGGCUAGAAGUGACUUUAGCGAAUGAGGAUAUUUUGGGUUCAUGGUUUGGGGCACAGUCUGUCAUGGUUCAGAUUGCUGCCAGCUGUCAUCUGGAUGGAUUAUGAAACAGAAGAAAGAAAGAAAGAAAGAAAGAAAGAAAGAAAGAAAGAAAGAAAGAAAGAAAGAAAGAAAGGAAGGAAGGAAGGAAGGAAGGAAGGAAGGAAGGAAGGAAGGAAGGAAGGAAGGAAAGAAAGAGGGAAGGAAGAGGGAGAGAAAGACCAACUGACCAACACCUAGAUGGCUUUCUUCUUCCACCUCACUCAGUACAGGAGCCCCUCCCAUAAGAGGAUGUCUCUUACACUCAAGAUGAAUCUUUUUCCUUCAAUUAAUCUCUAAAAAAGAACUCACAGACACACGCCAAAGCACACCUCAUUAUAACACUAGUGCUUUCUUCAUUCAAUCCCUAUGACAAUAAAAGCUCACCAUCACACAAUUGACAUGAAAGUACAACCUGUUACCUUGCCAGGCUAAUCUCUAUAUCCUUCCAAUUUUAGUGUGCAUACUAUAAAUGUGAGUAUUGUAAUCAAUUCCUAUUUCAUCUUCCAGAUCUCAAAACUGCCAGAUACCAGGAGUAUGGUUCAGUGCUCAGCUGUGGGUGCCUGUCUCUGCUUCAAACAGCUACCAGAUAAAGGCUUAUGUUUAUUUUUUUGUGACCAGUUGUGGAGAGGGAGGAGGUAUAAGCAAAGGAGCCAAGAUGGUGCUGAAGAAACCCGCAAAAACAGUUGACCUGACCUAAUGAGCAUGUGGGUGCCAGCUAGGAGGCCAGGGCAGUCUAAGGGACCUCUAACAGUGGAGCCAGUCUUUAACCCUGGAGCACAAAUAGACUUUGGGAGCCCAUUCCCUGUGGAGGGAUACUAUUGCAGCCCAGAUACAGCAAAAAGGGCCUAGGCCCUCCCCCAAAUGAUAUGACGACAUUGAAGGUCCCCUGUGGAGGGCCUCACUAUCCCUGGGGAGGAGUUGGGGGAUCGACUGGGGGGAGGUUGGUGGGGAAUAUAGGAGGAUGGGAGGGCAAGGGCUAGAAGGGGGAUGGAUAUGUAAAUAUAAGUAGUAAUUAAAGAGUGAAAAACAAAACCUGCCAGAUAAAACUUGAAUCAACAUAUACCCAAUCAAUUGAGUUACACAUAAUUAUAUAAAAUCAUGCAUCACACACACAUAUAUGUAAACAACAAAUAAGAAAGAACAUACUGCUGCAUUUCCCACCCAUAAUUAUUGACAAAGUCCUAGUGAAGAAUAACUUCUUUCUUUUACCACUAAGUUUGUCCUUCAUUCUUGUCCUGAUUAAUACCUGCUUAGGAUUCUUUUCCUGAAGAAUCUUAUAUGUAAACUCUUCACCCAUUUUACUCAUCAGAAAUAAAAUCAGUCCUCCCCAAGUAGCGCUAUGUGAGGUCAUAUUUAACCAAUGACAAUUUAACCAAUGAAACCAUUGUUUAGUCUCUUGUCAGAAGGGUUUCUUCCCCUUGAAGUCUGGGGUGAAACAAGAAGGGAUUGGAAGCUAUUAGAAUACAAAGAAAAAAACAAACAAAUAAAUAAGCCGUAACGAGAAGUGGAGAGUUACCCUCCAUCUGCUGCUUGUUUCCUAAGCAAUGUUUCUGCUUUUGAAGUGGUGUCAUAUGUUAGCUGUUCUCUAAGAUGGCCAUCACUGUUGCUUGGUCAUAGUUAAUCCUGUGGUGGGUCAUUCCAUGUUCUGUUCAUCUCAAGGUCUGUAGAGUGAAAGAGUAUAUAAAAAGGAUAGUGUGGUUUAGAAGUUCUAGCCUGGUACCUGUGUUUCUUAUAUUUGAACCUAGUUUCUUGGUCAAAACAAGUGUGACUUUUUUGAGAUCCCAUAUGAUAAGGUCUGCAUAAUGUAGAGGUCUAGAAAGGUCAAUUCAUUUCUAAAGUAAUUAUUACAAAUAGGAAAUCUAAUCACACUCCAUUCUGGAUUGAAUCCAUUGCAAUCAAGCUGUUACUAGAUGUCCAUCUGGUUCUCUUAGAGAACAUUUCCACUUACCAGAUCCCAGUACCAGUCUGUGCUGUUGGAAAGUGAGGAAAUCAGAAAUGGUAAUAGCCACACCAUCCUUGGUGAGAUAAUUCAUGCCUCUGACCUAUAUACAGCUCCUAUUUCUAUUUCUGCACCACAGUCCUCACAUGAACAUUUAAAAGCAUAGGGUUGGUAGAAGCAAAAAAGUUAAUAUCCUCACAAAGAGAUAUUCUGUCCAUUUAAUUAUCAAGGCUUUGUUUUUCAGUGGAUGCCCUUUGAUGAGCAGUCACAAGAAACACAAACGCACACAUUCUCUGUGCUUAUCCAUGGAGGCCCAUCGCUUAGGCUAUGCAUCUCUAUAAAUCCUUGUCCCCACUUUAAACAUUCAGAAAAUCGUAUCACAUUUUUAUUUAUCAGUAAAGAGAGUUUCAUAACUCAAAAACAAAGGGAAAAUAUUAUCACAGAAUCUUUUGCAAAUUUUAAAAUAAACUAGAAAGAAGUUAGAGCCACUGAUAACUUUAAAAUCAGAAUUCAGAGACAAACUGUAUUCAGUAAAAAGCAAUAAAUUUCAUUAAAAUAUAAUUUACAAAAGCAACUCAAAUAUAAAGUACAUAGAAAUGAAUAUAACAAAAUAAAGAGAAGAGGUAUAUUGAGAAAAUUAUGAAGCUGGAUGGUGGUGGCACACACCUUUAAUCCCAGAACUCCAGAGUCAGAAGCAGGUGGAUCUAUGUGAGUUUGAGGCCAGCUUGAUCUACAAAGCUACACAGAGAAAUCCUGUCUCAAAAAAUAAAGAAAGAAAAUUAUAAAAUGUUAUGGAAAGACAAAAAAGAAAAUUCACGACUGAGAGAUGGCUCAGCAGGUACAGGUAGCAACCCCUCAGUCAGACAACCUGAGUUCAGUCCCCAGGAUGCAGAUAGUGGAAGGAAAAAACCAACUCCCACAAGUUGUUCUCUGACCGCCACAAGUACUUUGUGGUAUGUACACACACACACACAUACACACACACACACACACAAAAAAAAAAAAACAGACAACACACAUAAAUAUUCACACAUACAGUAAAUACAACUAAUUUUUUUGUUAAUAGUUGUUAAAUAAAAUAAUAUAUAUAUAUAUAUAAUUCAUUCAUAAGCAUAAAAUUUCACCAUUCUAAAAUGAUCAAUUUCCCUAAGAACAAUUUCUAUAUUUGUGCUACUUAUAGCAAAACCUUAUUUAGUUUCCAAGAAAAAAUAUAAUUUUUCUUGGAAUUAAACAAAUUAAUUCUUUUUUUUUUUUUUUGGUUCUUCGAGACAGGGUUUCUGUGUGUAGCUUUGGAGCCUAUCCUGGCACUCACUCUGGAGACCAGGCUGGCCUCGAACUCACAGAGAUCCGUCUGCCUCUGCCUCCAGAGUGCUGGGAUUAAAGGUAUUCGCCACCAACGCCUGGCACAAAUUAAUUCUAACAUUAGUUGAAUCAAUAGCUGCUUGAUAUUUCAAAACUAAUUCUAAAACACAAACUAGCUACAAGGUACAUUUUCCUAUUAGACUUGGGACUUUAUAUGGUUGUAAUAAACUCUAGACAGUGGUGGUACAUGCCUUUAAACCCAGCACACGAAAGCAGAGUCAGGUGGAUCUUUGAGUUCAUGUCAGCCUGGACUACAGAAUGAGUUCCAGAACAGCCAGAGCUACACACAGAAACCCUGUCUCUAGCCUCACCCCAAACAAAAGGAUUGCAGUAAGUGUAGCACUUACAUAGGACCUGAGGAGCAGAAAAGUAAUGACAAUGGACUAGAGCCAGAAACAUUCGUGUGGGGAUUAUGGUGUAUGAGCAAUGUGGAGAUGAAAAGUUCACACACAAAAAGAUGUGGUUCAGUUAUCUAGUCGUGGAAAAUAAAAUCUAGUACAUUGUUUUACAACACUAGAAGAAACAACCCCCAAAGACUUUGACUAUCAAACUUAGGAAACCAAUUCUGUGAUGUGCUUUAGAAACAUCUAACCAAAUAUCUCUAGGAAGCUGUGGAAGCAAAUUUUUUCAAAGAUAGUAAAAAAAGAAAAGUGACAUGCUUGAUCAUGAAACAAUUUUAUGUUUAUAAUAUAAAUUUUUAUCAUGUACAAAGUUUCACAUGGUCCAAAAUUUGUACCAGAUAUUUUGUGUGUGUAAACAAAUUAUGGAACACAGAAAAUAAAGCAUGUCCACAGUCAAUUUUAAGAAAAUAAUUGGCACAAGAUUAUAUAUAUAUAUAUAUAUAUAUAUAUAUAUAUAUAUAUAUGUAUAUAUAUGUAUAUAUAUAAAUAUAUAUGUAUAUAUAUACGUAUAUAUAUACAUAUACAUAUAUAUAUAUGAGUUUAUAUCAAAGAAAUUUAGUCUGUAUAAAACAAGACUGCCAGCAAGUCAAGAUUUUAGAGAAAAAGUAAUUUAAAGAGAAAAGAUUUAACUGAAUUGAACAGAUCAUUCUUUGAAUGUUGGAGAAACUACUGACCAGCCUACAAAAGCUGCAGUUGCCCUGCCCUGAGCCAAGUUUGCCACUAUGACCAGAGACUGCUGACAAGACACCUGACCAGAGACACUAAUGAGGAAAAGACAUCACAGCAGAGUCAGCCUCCUGAGCCAAUAGAACCUUGGGAGGGGGUAUAAAAGCAGGUCUAACUUCCUUAAUAAACUAGUCUGCUGCACACUAUGCUACUCACUGACUCCCAGUGCCUGAGUCAUUAGACCUUCUCACUCCCUUCCCCAGAGGGUAUCUGAACAGGGUUACCUGCAAUACUAGAAGACAAAAUAACUAAGAAAUAUGAAAAUCUCACUGACUCACGGGAAAUCAUUAAAAUAUGUACAGAAGCAAAGAGAGUUUAUUGUGCAUGUAUCAAAUGACUGAUAAAACUGACAUUUAUAAAACCAAUUUGGGGAGUAAAAACUUGAAGGAACUGAAACAUACAUCUAAAAUCCACUGAAAUCCAGCCCCAAAGUUUGAACUUAUAAAACUUCAGAAAAGUAAUAAAGAGCCGAGAACAGCACAAAUAAUGAAGUAAGUUUGCAUAGCAAAAUACUAUGAAAUUAACAUAUGCUAACAAUUUUGUUUAUAUUAAAUUGUAAUUCUGGGGUGACAUACAAACGAACACAUGAGAUCUUUGAAGCACAGUGGAAUGUAAGGAAAAGCAAGUCCAAGUUAGCCACAUUGAGGGGAAAAUGUAGAAGUGAAAUUGUGCAGCAGAGGAAGCAUAUUAUAACUGGUAUUCUAGAAAUAUAAUAAUUAUUGGAAAAGUGAGGUCUUUUAUUGAUUCUGUACAUAAGGUAAAUGGGUUUCUAGUACUAACUUUUGGUAAACAAGAUGUGUACUAUGUCUUUGAAAAAUUUAUUAAUGGUGACCACAGAAAUAGUACAGUUUGUAAAAUAAAACUUGGAGUGGUUGAGAGAAUGACGAGUCAAUGACAGGUGGUAUGGAAAAGCAAGAGAGAAACGGGUUCAAUUUAGCAGUAAAGCCACCGAUAGGGAAAUGUGUUAUAUACCAAGAACAGAAAGAAAAUGUGGGCCAGGUUUAUACAGUUUGGAAAAUCAUGUUUGGAGUCUGCUGGUAGAUGUUGAGAUAUAAGCUUGCAUCGUGCCUUUGUUUCCGGUGAAAGCGGAAGCUGCUGGAAUCUUCUAUCAUUGCCUCUGAAAUUGAUUCUGGUGGGACUCACAGGAUGCUGUCACAGGAUGCUGAGUUGAAAUAAUAAUAUGUUGGGGUGCUUGUUAGAGAAGGGAGUCCAAAAAGCACUAAUGGCCUUACACUGCUAUGCCCUCUGAGGUCCACAUUUGCACCUCUGUGCAGACAAUUGUCGACUUCGUGUACUGUAAUAUCUCCCUCUUGAAAAUGGGUGCUUCCAGAAAAUGAAGUCUUAACCAGGAAUUUGAGGGAACAGCUUUGUUUGGGCAAAAGACCAUCUUUAGCUCCCCUUGGAAACUGAUUCCAAGAGAAAUGUAGGAGGGACACACAAACAACUUGGAAGGUAUGAAGAGAGGUGGUGCUCACUUUUAGAAUUUAUGGUCCUAGAAGUAUACACCUGAGAGAUGAACACCAGCUGUCACACAGUACAUAAUAAGAGGGCCUCCAUGUCAGAAAUGAUAAAGCAAUUCAUAUCUGAUGGCUUCAAUUUUCAGUUUGAAAUAUGAAGCUAGGUCAUCAGCAGAGAGUGAUGAAGAGAGGGUUUGAGAAGGGAAUUAGAUUUGAGGUGCUUAUCUUGAACUAUGACAAAAAGAGCAGUUAGAGCCACCUGGACAAGGUCCUAGAGAAUUCUCUCAACUUAGUGACCAUGUGAAAAAGCAGAGUCUGUUAUGUUUUUUAACUUCCUCAGAUGGAGUCAUGUGCCUCUGGGACUAUUGGUAAGGAAAGGGAUCAAUGAUUUCAAUUGGGAAUGGACAUUUUAACAAUAUCUAAGAAAAUAAUAAAGCAACACAUUGAAUGUGUUUGUGGUUUGUAGCCAUUGACUUCAUGGAGAUUUACUAGAGGUGCAAUAGGAAAUUAAUGCCAGUUGCUACUAAUAUUUAAAAUCAACAGUUUUUAACCUUCUUUGAAAGAAUAACUCACAUGUUGAAGGAAAAAUAGAAGUAUAAAACUCCUCAAUCAACAGUUCUGAACAUGUAUGACUAUACCCUACUUAAAGGAUUUAAAAGUGACUGAAGUGACAAUGCUUAAGAGUAAAUUUUCUUUAAAUUCUCCAAAUACAUUCAACUAUUCAUUUCAAAAUUAUAGUUCCUAAAACAUCUUUUCCAAUUAAAGAAAUAUGUCUCCAUAUGUCUGUGAGCUAUGCACAUCAAUAUACCAUAUUUUAUUGAUUUAUAACUCAUAUUCUCAUUUAGCAUCUCUGGUAUUAGAAAAAUUUUAUAACUAAUAACAUAUUGUACUUAAUGAAAUGUGAUGGAUCAAAGAAAAAUGUCUAAAGACCUUACUAUUUUCUUUAGAAGAAUUUAUAUUCCUCUCUCUUAGUUGCUUGUUGGGCCAGAUGUAAAGGUGACUCUAGAGACAGACCAGUUUAACAAAACCUAAAGCCUUAUUAUUUGGGAGUCAUUUUACAAACAUUUUUAAAGUAAUAAAAUUAUGCACUGACAUGAAUAUUUUUUAAAGAAUGAAAGUGCAAGCUACAAGCUUUUCAAAAGGUAAAUAUUACCACAAACACCAGAGAACCCAUAAACUAAAGAAAAUGUUUGGUUACAAAACUGUAUGGCAUCUCUUCAUGAAGCUUGCAUCCUAUGCAUUUUGGACACAUACUCAUUGUUUAUAAGACUUCACAAGACAACAAUUUUACAAUAUUGUUUUUGAUAGAAAGAAGGGCUUAGAUUGUAGUGCCUGUGGCUAGCAUAUAGAAAGAUAAUUUAAUCUUCUGCAAUGGUUGACUGAAUUUAAUUUUUCUUUGUUAUUAAUAAUCUACAUGCUUUAUUUUUAGCUUCAAAAUGAAUUACUGGCAAUGUCACUUAAACUGUAAAGACUUUUUAAGAAGUAUUUUAUCAAAGACAAUUUUAAUAUGAGUUCCCAGAUUUGGAAGACUACUUUUUUUCCUAAUCCAGUAACAGCUAUUAUAACCUUGCCUUCCCUCUAUCAUUGGCUUACUUCCUGGGACAACCACCUUCAAGUAGGAACAGUGUCCACCCAGUAAGUUCUCAGACCCUCAACCUCUGUUACAUUCCCUUGAUAAAUCCACAUAUAUACUAAACUAAUUACAAUUAGCCAUGGAAGUCUGAGAACCUCAUAAUUUUAAACUAAGCUCAAACAAAAUAGUUUCUAAUUUAAAUUAUCACUAGUCAUAUUCCCCAAAUAGCUGUAGCUGUAGCCACUGGACAUGAGCCAAGACCUGAGCAGGUGGGAACAUGGAAACAGAGUAGCAAAAGCCUUUAGCCUUAGCCUACUAUAAUUAAGAAUUCCAAUAGUACAACAAUUCUGAAGACAGAUACUUAAGUGGAAUAUAUUACUAGGGUCCAUUUCAAUUCCUUAAAACAGGUACAUUGAAAGAGUAAACCAAGAACCAUUGACAACUAAGCAAAUCUCACUGGUAGAGAUAAAUAAAUUAUAUACUGCUAAAGGGAGAAGCAGAAAAACAAAGAGGCACUCAAACAUAAAACUACACAUUGGAAUAGGAAUUCUAAAACAAAAUAGAUUUGAAAAGCAAUAAACUUAGCCAUGACAAUAAAGCAAUCGCUGAGAGUAAGUUUUAGUUUUAGAAAAACGAAAAUAUAUUUUCUGUGUCCCCUGACUUUAUAGCUCAAAUCCCUGGGUAUUACAUAUACAAAACUAAUACUAAGUAACACACUUGAGAAGUGGAGACAGGCAGUCAGAUGAGCAAUAACCUGAGGUUCUAAUGAAAAAUACAUUGCAAAGUCCCCGUAUUUUUUCCCCUAAUAUGUUGCAACUUGAAAAUGCCAAUGGAGGCAGGCCAGAAGUUCAACCAAUGCCUAUUCACUCCACUCAAAUAGUAAAGAGGAGAGUCAGGCUAGAAAAUCCAAACCACGAUGGAAAAGCAAAGGAUUUGUCUUAUUUGCACUCAUACCUGAAAAGGCUGUGUGGGAAGAUUGGAACGCCACCCCAAUAGUCUGUAUGAAGGUAUUCAGUGCUUCCCCCUGGGAUAGAGCAGAUCAUGCUGCAGGGACCAGGGCUUCUCCCAAGGCUUGGCAGUCAUGUCAGCAGCAGCAUCUCCCAUGGUGUUCCUGGAUCAAGUGAGGAUCCUGAACUCCAUUCCUACCUAGAAUUACCAAGGGUCCUCCUUCCAUCACUUUGGGCUGAUGACAUAUAAGACUAAAGAGAAGGGAGGGCUUUGAUCACCUCCCAGAAUUCAGUGGAAACCAGAUGGUAUCAAUGGAGACCAGAUGGGGAGUGGUGACAAGAAUUGUAUCUGCAGGGACAGCCAGAGAACCAGAACUGCCAGCCAUGCCCAGCAGUUAUAAGCUUCUGUACCAUUUGGUAUCUGUGAAUGAAAACUAGAGAAUUUAGACUUCUACCAUCACUUGGCACUAAUAAAGUGGGGCCCCACUGCCAUUGCUGAAGGGAUAGCAGAAGAAGCCAGCUAAAGGAAAAUUAAUAAAAUCCAUAACCUCACAAGUUAAUGAAAAUGCUCAUAUUUUGAUACAAAAAUAUGAAUCAACUCAAAACACAAUAGACACCAACUUUAGGACAAUAGUAAUCCUAGAAUUGUUGGACAAGUAAAUAUCAUAAAAAUUAUUCAGUGCACACAUACAAAUAGACAUACAUCAGUUGAGAGAGGCAGAGAGACACAGAAAGACUCAGUAAAGCCAUAGACCAUGUAAAAUAUAUUUACAGUUAUCUUUGGUUAUAUAUAAUAACUACAUUUUUUAAAACUCAGCAAAGAGCAAGAACAAAAUAACAGAAAAAAAUCAAAGGAAAAUGAUAAAUCUUUCCGCCAAAAGCCGCUGAGCCCCACCGCCAUGUGUACGCUUUAGGCCAGCCACCUGACCGAGUUAGGCCCAAAUGAAUACACAGAAACUUGUAUUAGGUACAAAGCUUCUUGGCCAAUGACUAGGACUUCUCAUCUGCUAGCUCAGUCUUAAUUAUCAUAAAUCUAUAUAUUUUAUAAGACUUAUCUUAUCGGAUGCCUUAUUGGUGUACCUCCUUGCUGGUGGAUCACAUUGUGCCACUGGAGCAGGAUCGGAG